AUUUGCUUUCCACUUUCACAGAUUCUAUUCAAGUUUCAUCUAUCCUGAAAAAAACAUUCUUUAAACUUCUGAAGAAAUAUCGUCUGUCUAGACAAGAAAAAAUUUAGACAAGAGAAGCUCGAGAAGCGAUUGGGAUUAUGUUGUGAGCCAUAAGUACCAACCAAAGAACUAAUAAAGACAGACUGAACAUUUUUUUUCUCAUAUUUUACUGAGAAAUUGAUACGAAACAACACCGUCAAGAUAUAUCUCCAGGAACCAAAAUCCUCACAACUAAGUCAAGACAACAAGUUGACUUUGGAAAAGUCAGCAUUUUCGAUUAUGCCAAACAUCGGUUAACCAAGAAGACAGAAUAGCAUGGAGAUUUUGUCAUGGUGAAGUUUCCCAAUCUGUGAUUUUGAGUGUACACUUUUUUAAAUGUUUAAUGUCAACAACAUACUAGGUUCAAGUACCGAAGUUCCUAUGUACCUGUCGAAUUAGUAAACUUCUACACUAAAUCUGAAGUGCAACCUAAAAUGAACUGAACUGAAUUCAAAUCAAUGAAAUGUUAAAUACUGUUGUAAAAGUUUGAUCUUCGCUUUUCCUUUUUGUGCUUUUUCACUAUUCCUCAUGAUUGUUGUCUGGAAUCCUUAAGAUGUUACGCAUGGUUUUGUCGUAAUAAAUUUAUUUUGUGGUUUUGUUGUU
Parasteatoda tepidariorum (common house spider) is the source of this 681-nucleotide long non-coding RNA. RefSeq lists it as uncharacterized. The record is from RefSeq and is a predicted model, not a curated record. NCBI's taxonomy places the organism in Eukaryota, Metazoa, Arthropoda, Arachnida, Araneae, Theridiidae.